CGCGACGGGUGAGUAACACGUGAAUUAUCUACCUCCGAGUGGGGAAUAACUGAGAGAAAUCUUAGCUAAUACCGCAUAACACUUACGAGUCAAAGCAGCAAUGCGCUUGGAGAGGAGUUCGCGGCCGAUUAGUUAGUUGGCGGGGUAAUGGCCCACCAAGACGAUGAUCGGUAUCCGGCCUGAGAGGGCGCACGGACACACUGGAACUGAAACACGGUCCAG
Molecule: ribosomal RNA, 222 nt
Filed under: uncultured bacterium
Lineage: Bacteria
Description: partial 16S ribosomal RNA
Rfam family: Bacterial small subunit ribosomal RNA
Source: RNAcentral